This 466-nucleotide ribosomal RNA is filed under the name uncultured bacterium. RNAcentral describes it as "partial 16S ribosomal RNA". It matches the Rfam family "Bacterial small subunit ribosomal RNA", at positions 28 to 507 of the family's 1533-position model. The record is from RNAcentral.
GAUGAACGCUGGCGGCGUGCUUAACACAUGCAAGUCGAACGGAAAGGCUCCUGCUUGCUGGUGUUCUCGAGUGGCGAUCGGGUGAGUAACACGUGGAUGAUCUGCCCUGCACUUCGGUAUAAGCCUGCGAAACUGGGUCUAAUCUCGGAUAGGACGCUGGUUUGGAUGCCAUUGUGGAAAGUUUUUUUGGUUGGGGAUUAGCUGGCGGCCUAUUCGGUUUUUGGUGGUGUCAUGGCCUACCAAGGCGUCGACGGGUAGCCGUCCUGAGAGGGUGUACGGCGACAUUGGGACUGAGAUACGGCGCAGACUCCUACGGGAGGCAGCAGUGGGGAAUAUUGCACAAUGGGAGCAAGCGUGAUGAAGAGACGUUGGGUGGGGGAAGACGGCCUUCGGGGUGUAAAAAGCUUUAGCUAGAGACGAAGCGCAAGUGACGGUACCUAGAGAAGAAGCACCGGCUAACUACGUG